CAAAAAGUCGGUUCUCUGUGUAGUCUAUUUCCCUGCUCUUUAGAGAGAUUUAUGUACCUCUGAUGCUGAGUCCCUUGGGUUAGCGAAUGCUCGAGCACAUGAAACAAACUGACAGAUGAGAGUCUGCUUUAAACCAAACAUCGCCGCAGAAAGCAAAGGCUGAGCGGAUUGAAAACGUACAUGGGAGAAAAACGCCCCGAGUUCUUAACGCGAAGUCAACAGCUCCCUUUACAAGCUGUUCAUUGGGCUUUGUUCAGAGCGUGUUUUCACAGCAGGAAACGCUCGCCCUGAAAUUGCGUGGUUCACUUUUUGUGGACCAGUGGGUGAGUGCGCCCGCCCGCCCAUCCAUCCAUCCAUCCAUCCAUCCAUCCAUCCAUCCAUCCAUCCAUCCAUCCAUCCAUCCAUAUCCAUAUCCAUAUCCAUAUCCAUAUCCAUAUCCAUAUCCAUAUCCAUAUCCAUAUCCAUAUCCAUAUCCAUAUCCAUAUCCAUAUCCAUAUCCAUAUCCAUAUCCAUAUCCAUAUCCAUAUCCAUAUCCAUAUCCAUAUCCAUAUCCAUAUCCAUAUCCAUAUCCAUAUCCAUAUCCAUAUCCAUAUCCAUAUCCAUAUCCAUAUCCAUAUCCAUAUCCAUAUCCAUAUCCAUAUCCAUAUCCAUAUCCAUAUCCAUAUCCAUAUCCAUAUCCAUAUCCAUAUCCAUAUCCAUAUCCAUAUCCAUAUCCAUAUCCAUAUCCAUAUCCAUAUCCAUAUCCAUAUCCAUAUCCAUAUCCAUAUCCAUAUCCAUAUCCAUAUCCAUAUCCAUAUCCAUAUCCAUAUCCAUAUCCAUUCACAUCCACCCACACCCAUCCAUCCCGGAGCUCCCGGUCCCGGCCGGAGCCGCUGCCCGGGCGGGGCUGGCGAGUCCCCCCCCCCCCCCCCCCCCCCCCCCCCCCCCCCCCCCCCCCCCCCCCCCCCCCCCCCCCCCCCCCCCCCCCCCCCCCCCCCCCCCCCCACCGGGCGCACGGAGAGGCCCCGGGAAUCCGCCACCGCCAGCCCGGCUGUGUUCGAUGCCGACCCGGCCACCCCAGCCGCGGCUGAGCAUCUCCGUGUGCGAGGGAUGCUUGCGCAGCGCUAACACCGGCAAAACCCGCUCCCGUGUGUUCCUCGGAGGUGCGGCGAUUUUC
Molecule: long non-coding RNA, 1156 nt
Filed under: Ficedula albicollis (Collared flycatcher)
Lineage: Eukaryota; Metazoa; Chordata; Aves; Passeriformes; Muscicapidae
Description: lncRNA (ENSFALG00000024807.1)
Source: RNAcentral